AGAUUGAACGCUGGCGGCGUGCCUAACACAUGCAAGUCGGGCGGUAACAGGCGUAGCAAUACGUGCUGACGAGCGGCGAACGGGUGAGCAAUGCUUCGGAAUCUGCCCAAUGAUGGGGAAUAACCGGUCGAAAGAUUGGCUAAUACCGCAUACGCCCUUCGGGGGAAAGCGGGGGUCGCAAGACCUCGCGUCGAUGGAUGAGCCGAAGUCGGAUUAGCUAGUGGUAGGUAACGGCCUACCAAGGCGACGAUCCGUAGCUGGUCUGAGAGGACGACCAGCCACACUGGGACUGAGACACGGCCCAGACU
This 308-nucleotide ribosomal RNA is filed under the name uncultured soil bacterium. Its description in RNAcentral is "bacterial SSU rRNA". It matches the Rfam family "Bacterial small subunit ribosomal RNA", at positions 26 to 337 of the family's 1533-position model. The record is from RNAcentral.